UGCAGGGCGUGGCAGCUCAGCACCGACUGGCCUAGUCUAAACUGAUGUUCCGCCAAGGAGGCCCUUUGGCUGCCGUGAGCACCUAAACAGCCCUGCCUUUGUCCUAGUGGCCACAGGCACUGUUUGCUCAGUGCCCAGCUUGCUUUUCCCAGGCUGAGUUGGGCAGGCAGAGGCCCGGGUGCCAUGGAAACAGCGCAGGCCACCUGUCUUGUCCAGCCCCCGCUUUCUGCCCAGUUGCUUUCUCAGUCGCUUCAGACCUCCUGCUGCACUGGCCCUGCCCCAGCUGCCCUCGUCCCACCCCCUCACUAGCUAGGCUGGGUGCAGAGACAGCCAAGGGUUUCAGGGGCCCUGGGGAUCGCACAGAUCCUGGGAUUAGCUCCGGCACCCUCAGCACCCAAUCGGUUGACUGCUUGCUGCCUGCAGGGCAACUCAAGAGUCCAGCACAGAAAUCCUUUACCUGGGACCUCCGCCCUGAACGGAGGAGGAUUUCCUGUACGUAGGAGGAAGGCUGUGGGGUCCCUCAAAGGCUCCACAGCUUCAUUAAAACUGCAGCACCAGGGGCUGGAGAGAUGGAGCAACAGUCAGGAGCACCCGUCGCUGUUCCAGAGGACCCAGGUUCAAUUCCCAGCCCCUAUAUGCUAGCUCACAAGUGCCUUUGCCUCAGUCCUAAGGGAUCUGGUGCCCUCUUCUGGCCACUAUGGGCACUGCACAUACAUGGUGCAUGGAUAUAAAUGCAGACAAAAAUCAAUGAAACAAAUAAACAAAAAGCCCAUCUGC
Molecule: long non-coding RNA, 777 nt
Filed under: Rattus norvegicus (Norway rat)
Lineage: Eukaryota; Metazoa; Chordata; Mammalia; Rodentia; Muridae
Description: long non-coding RNA NONRATT027207
Source: RNAcentral